RNAcentral lists this ribosomal RNA (440 nucleotides) under uncultured bacterium. Its description in RNAcentral is "partial 16S ribosomal RNA". It matches the Rfam family "Bacterial small subunit ribosomal RNA", at positions 338 to 795 of the family's 1533-position model. The record is from RNAcentral.
CCUACGGGAGGCAGCAGUGGGGAAUAUUGCACAAUGGGGGAAACCCUGAUGCAGCGACGCCGCGUGAGCGAAGAAGUAUUUCUGUAUGUAAAGCUCUGUCAGCAGGGAAGAAAAUGACGGUACCUGACCACGAAGCCCCGGCUAACUCCGUUCCAGCAGCCGCGGUAAUGCGCAGGGGGCAAGCGUUAUCCGGAUUUACUGGGUGUAAAGGGAGCGUAGACGGCAGGGCAAGUCUGGAGUGAAAGGCGGGGGCUCAACCCCCGGACUGCUCUGGAAACUGCCAGGCUGGAGUGCAGGAGAGGUAAGUGUAAUUCCUGGUGUAGCGGUGAAAUGCGUAGAUAUUAGGAGGAACCCCAGUGGCGAAGGCGGCUUACUGGACUGUAACUGACGCUGAGGCUCGAACGCGUGGGGAGCAAACAGGAUUAGAUACCCUAGUAGUC